This 573-nucleotide ribosomal RNA is filed under the name uncultured bacterium. RNAcentral describes it as "bacterial SSU rRNA". It matches the Rfam family "Bacterial small subunit ribosomal RNA", at positions 161 to 735 of the family's 1533-position model. The record is from RNAcentral.
UGCUAAUACCGCAUAAGCGCACGGUUCCGCAUGGAACAGUGUGAAAAACUCCGGUGGUAUACGAUGGAUCCGCGUCUGAUUAGCCAGUUGGUGGGGUAACGGCCCACCAAAGCGACGAUCAGUAGCCGGCCUGAGAGGGUGAACGGCCACAUUGGGACUGAGACACGGCCCAAACUCCUACGGGAGGCAGCAGUGGGGAAUAUUGCACAAUGGGGGAAACCCUGAUGCAGCGACGCCGCGUGAGUGAAGAAGUAUUUCGGUACGUAAAGCUCUAUCAGCAGGUAAGAAAAAAAGUCCUUUGGACUUUGGACGGUACCUGACCAAGAAGCCCCGGCUAACUACGUGCCAGCAGCCGCGGUAAUACAUAGGGGGCAAGCGUUAUCCGGAUUUACUGGGUGUAAAGGGAGCGUAGACCGCAGCGCAAGUCUGGAGUGAAAUGCCGGGGCCCAACCCCGGAACUGCUUUGGAAACUGUGCAGUUCGAGUGCAGGAGAGGUAAGCGGAAUUUCUAGUGUAGCGGUGAAAUGCGUAGAUAUUAGGAGGAACACCAGUGGCGAAGGCGGCUUACUGGACU